This 230-nucleotide microRNA precursor is filed under the name Sorghum bicolor (sorghum). RNAcentral describes it as "MIR6217 microRNA precursor family". It matches the Rfam family "MIR6217 microRNA precursor family". Lineage: Eukaryota; Viridiplantae; Streptophyta; Magnoliopsida; Poales; Poaceae. The record is from Rfam by way of RNAcentral.
UAGCUACAAAAUAACUUAUUCUGUAGCCACUUUGAGUUACGAUAAUUACUAUAUUAAUUUAUGAGAUUAUAGUAAUUCCAUACUAAGUGGUUUAAUAUAAUGUCAUGGUAAAUGUCUCCAUGUGUUAUAGUAACCCAAUUAUUGUAAAUAUGUAUUGAUAUUAUCAUAAAUUAGUAUAUAAAAUUAUCGUAAAUGGAGGUGGCUACAAAAUAACUUUUAUUUUGUAGUUC